UUAGCUAGAUGGUGARRUAAURGUUCACCAAGGMGAYGAUCCAUAGCUGGUCUGAGAGGAUGAUCAGCCACACUGGGACUGAGACACGGCCCAGACUCCUACGGGAGGCAGCAGUGGGGAAUAUUGGACAAUGGGCGCAAGCCUGAUCCARCCAUGCCGCGUGUGUGAUGAAGGCCUUAGGGUUGUAAAGCACUUUCACCGAUGAAGAUAAUGACGUAGUCGAGAGGRAUGCUU
This 234-nucleotide ribosomal RNA is filed under the name uncultured Pseudomonadota bacterium. RNAcentral's name for it is "uncultured proteobacterium partial 16S ribosomal RNA". The record is from RNAcentral. Lineage: Bacteria; Pseudomonadati; Pseudomonadota.